This 94-nucleotide transfer RNA is filed under the name Pseudomonadota bacterium. Its description in RNAcentral is "Proteobacteria bacterium (groundwater metagenome) tRNA-Leu". It matches the Rfam family "tRNA". From Rfam's summary of the family: Transfer RNA (tRNA) molecules are approximately 80 nucleotides in length. Their secondary structure includes four short double-helical elements and three loops (D, anti-codon, and T loops). Further hydrogen bonds mediate the characteristic L-shaped molecular structure. tRNAs have two regions of fundamental functional importance: the anti-codon, which is responsible for specific mRNA codon recognition, and the 3' end, to which the tRNAs corresponding amino acid is attached (by aminoacyl-tRNA synthetases). tRNAs cope with the degeneracy of the genetic code in two manners: having more than one tRNA (with a specific anti-codon) for a particular amino acid; and 'wobble' base-pairing, i.e. permitting non-standard base-pairing at the 3rd anti-codon position. RNAcentral also lists the same sequence under 1 other name. The record is from RNAcentral. Lineage: Bacteria; Pseudomonadati; Pseudomonadota.
GGAAGCGUGGGCGAGUGGUUUAAGCCAUCCGACUUAGGAUCGGACAAACGCGCUGGCACGUGUUUCGCGGGUUCAACUCCCGCCGCUUCCGCCA